This 72-nucleotide transfer RNA is filed under the name Pseudozyma sp. RNAcentral describes it as "tRNA-Val". It matches the Rfam family "tRNA". From Rfam's summary of the family: Transfer RNA (tRNA) molecules are approximately 80 nucleotides in length. Lineage: Eukaryota; Fungi; Basidiomycota; Ustilaginomycetes; Ustilaginales; Ustilaginaceae. The record is from RNAcentral.
AAGGAUUUAGCUGAGUGGUUUAGCAUCGAUCUUACACAUCGACGACAGAGGUUCGAUUCCUCUAAUUCUUAC